AGUGAACGCUGGCGGUAGGCCUAACACAUGCAAGUCGAACGGCAGCACAGUAAGAGCUUGCUCUUACGGGUGGCGAGUGGCGUACGGGUGAGGAAUACAUCGGAAUCUACUUUUUCGUGGGGGAUAACGUAGGGAAACUUACGCUAAUACCGCAUACGACCUACGGGUGAAAGCAGGGGAUCUUCGGACCUUGCGCGAUUGAAUGAGCCGAUGUCGGAUUAGCUAGUUGGCGGGGUAAAGGCCCACCAAGGCGACGAUCCGUAGCUGGUCUGAGAGGAUGAUCAGCCACACUGGACCUGAGCCACCGCCCCCACUCCUACGAGAGGCAGCAGUCGGGAAUAUUGGACAAUGGGCGCAAGCCUGACACAGCCAUACCGCGUGGGUGAAGAAGGCGUUCGGGUUGUAAAGCCGUUUUGUUGGGAAAGAACAGCAGCAAGUUCAUACCCGGCUGUUCUGACGGUACCCAAAGAAUAAGCAACGGCUAACUUCGUG
RNAcentral lists this ribosomal RNA (492 nucleotides) under uncultured bacterium. RNAcentral's name for it is "partial 16S ribosomal RNA". It matches the Rfam family "Bacterial small subunit ribosomal RNA", at positions 29 to 507 of the family's 1533-position model. The record is from RNAcentral.